Dioscorea cayenensis subsp. rotundata (Guinea yam) is the source of this 2556-nucleotide long non-coding RNA. RefSeq lists it as uncharacterized. NCBI's taxonomy places the organism in Eukaryota, Viridiplantae, Streptophyta, Magnoliopsida, Dioscoreales, Dioscoreaceae. The record is from RefSeq and is a predicted model, not a curated record. The transcript has 3 exons.
GUGAGAGUUGCCUAUUAAAGCCAAAAAUAAAUAAAUAAAUAAAUAGAAAUAUUUAUUUUUUGGGAAGAACUAUCAGUUGCUGCUUUGAUUGAACUUCAAAGCUCUCCCAGGAUUCAUUUGAUUGAAUUAUUGAAAAACAAUUAUGUUUGUUUAGUUAGGCAUUUAGUUCUCGAAGAUAAGUUCUUGUAAUAACAAUACUGUAUAAGCUUCUAUCUAGGCAAUUUUGUUACUAAAAAGACAGAUAAUUUGUUGGAAUCCUGAUUCAGACUUCCAUCUUCUGAUUAAUGGAUUUAAUUCUGAGGUCCAUCUUUUUGGUAUCUUUCUUUCCUCCAGACAUUUUGGCAGGUAAUAGGCGAUGAAUUUACCUAACUUUAAUGAUAAGCAGUGGUACCAAUUGGCUUGAGCUUCUCUCUUCAGGCCAUGGGCUGGGUUCUGGCCUAAAACUGAAAUUUCGAAUAUAUUUCUGACAAAUAUGGGCUCAUGUUUUCCCUAUGCUUGAACUUCGGAUAUAUUCAGAUCUGAAAAGACACAGGAACCAAGGUUGCUUCAGACAUAUCUGGUCCUAGUUUGGCUAGUUCUGAGGAACUCACAUCCAGGGCAGGUUUCAGUAACUCUUGACAAUUGCCGAUUGAACUGCCAAGCUGAGAAAUUAAUCUUAUUCUGAUUUACCUAGGAUCAUAUUAUAUGUUAACAUGUUCACGAACUUGGUGAUCAUGGAAACAUGUGUACAUGUAUCCACUUUUCUCUUAUACAUGACUAUCUGUUUUUAGAAAUCUUUUAACAUGGACAGGUUGAAGGUGUGUUUUGUUGUAAACAGCAAUAGUCCUGUGCAUAUUAAACCUUUGAUUCUUGGGAGUGGGCAAUAUGACCCUGGCUAGUCAUUUAAAUGACAGCUAAGUGUCUCUUGCGCCUUGGUUCGGCCUUGUUACUGUGGUAUUUUCGCUUGAUUUAAUGCAUAUUCAUUGCUGAAUUUAAUCACACCCACUUCAUGAGUUGGGUAGCUGCCAGCUUUCAUCCUGGGCAACUAGUUUUCUUGACUUGGAAACAAAUGCUUCUGAGUUUCCCGACAGCUUUUUCAAUGAUGUGUUGCAUUUGACAAUCUUUUGUCAUGCCCACUUGCUGUUGUUCUUAAUUGGAGACACUCGAUGGUUUUGCCUUUUUCAUUGAGUUAUUUACAUAGUAAUUAGUAAUUUUAUGAAGUUAUGUUACCUCUCCUGUGUCAUGUUCUCUAGAAAAUGCUUGGGCUGUUACUUGGAUUGCUCUCAGGAGAAUUGAUUCUCCUAUACAAGUUCUAAUCAAAUUGAGAAUUUAUUAUAGAUAGAGACUGCAGUUUUGAUCUCAAGCAUGUUUGCAAUCAGUUGUGUAUCUGUUCUGUCAUCAUAGCUAGCCACAAUAAUAGAUGAUGUUUCAGGGGCCUUGAACUUUUUCCUGAAUGUAACAUUUAGGUGGAGAAUAACAUGGAUCAGGGUUAAUUUAUGGGUCUCUAUUAUUUGUGACACCCUUGCUAACUUUAUGUAUUUAUUCACCACCUUAUUUUGAUUAUCUAAUGGACACUCAUGGCGAGUGCUUCUCUGUUUAUUUCCUGCAUCAUUUUUUUUUUAUAUUUUAUCUAUGUGAAGUUUCAGUGAUUCAGCAACGAGAAUCAAACUUCCCAUGGUAAAAAACUAUCUUCGAGUAAACUUUCAUUUCAAUUAUUCUUGCAAAGUGCAAUACUGAUGCAUUCCACAUGCAUCAGCUGCCACUGAAGACAUCAUUUUGCAGAUCCCAAUAAAUGGCAGAAAAUCAGGUCACUUAUUAUCAACACACAAUAUAUCUGUAUUUAGAUCUUGUGACCAGCUGGAACGAACAGCGACAGUUCACAGCAUAUGCAGAAGCCCCCAAACAGUGGCACAAAAGCCAUCUGCAAGCUGUCCUGAACCACUAGUGGCAUCUGGCUGUGGCUCCAAGUGCAUCCCCAUUACCAAGCUGUCCUGCAACUUGUCCUACAUUUCAUGUCUUCUCUUAGGAUUAAUUGUAUAUAUAUUCAUUCAUGAGAAUGAAUGUCAACCACCAGUUGAAAUUGAUUGAAAGUUGGCCUCCUCGUGUGCAUGUCUCCCCUGGGGCUCCUGUGUUUGCCCACAUUGGUGUCCUUUUCCAUCAUCCACAUGCACUGCUGCUUUUGUUUCUCAUUCUAUCUUUUGUGGGCCUCUGCACCAUUCUCAUUUUCAUUAUCUUAUGCUAAUGUUUCUUUAUCUAAAUGAAUGUUUAAUUCUAAUAAUUUGUUGUUUAGCUGCUGUUUUGUUUGUAGAUUGUGAUUGUGAGAUCAGAGAUUGCAGGUUUCUGCAUUGAACUGCAGAAACUGUUUUUUUGGAUGUUGUUUCACUGAAAAUUAGAUGUCAAUUAUGAUCACGUUCAGUGUCACCAGUUGCUAUGAUUUGGACUAGUGUAUCACUUUGAGCAGGUUGAUGUGACCAUUGAAUACACAAACGAGCAUCUUUUGUGACAAUGAGAAGUUGGUUUUUAAUUAUUUAUGUUUCCUGGUGAUGAGUCAUCUUAGUCACAUGCUUAUAAAGAUUC